RNAcentral lists this ribosomal RNA (490 nucleotides) under uncultured bacterium. RNAcentral describes it as "partial 16S ribosomal RNA". It matches the Rfam family "Bacterial small subunit ribosomal RNA", at positions 30 to 507 of the family's 1533-position model. The record is from RNAcentral.
AUUGAACGCUGGCGGCAGGCUUAACACAUGCAAGUCGAGCGGUAACAGAGAGAUUCUUGCUUCUCUGCUGACGAGCGGCGGACGUGUGAGGAAUGCCUAGGAAUCUGCCUAGUAGUGGGGGAUAACUUGCCGAAAGGUAAGCUAAUACCGCAUACGUCCUACGUGAGAAAGGAGGGGACCUUCGUGCCUUUCGCUAUUAGAUGAGCCUAGGUCGGAUUAGUUAGUUGGUGAGGUAAUGGCUCACCAAGACCGCGAUCCGUUACUGGUCUGAGAGGAUGAUGAGUCACACUGGAACUGAGACACGGUCCAGACUCCUACGGGAGGCAGCAGUGGGGAAUAUUGGACAAAGGGGGGAACCCUGAUCCAGCCAUGCCGCGUGUGUGAAGAAGGUCUUAGGAUGGUAAAGCACUUUAAGUUGGGAGGAAGAGCAGUUAACUAAUAUUUGACUGUUUUGACGUUACCGACAGAAUAAGCACCGGCUAACUUCGUG